This 383-nucleotide unclassified non-coding RNA is filed under the name plant metagenome. RNAcentral's name for it is "partial contains small subunit ribosomal RNA, internal transcribed spacer 1, and 5.8S ribosomal RNA". The record is from RNAcentral.
UUUCCGUAGGUGAACCUGCGGAAGGAUCAUUAACGAAAGCGUGUCUUAAAAACACACGUUUUUAUUAUUUCAAACCAACUCGUGUGACUGUUCUGUUCCUGUCGUUGGGUGAGUGGGGAGUGAGGACAAUGGUGUGAGUCAUUUAACCGUGACUCUGCCUCUCUUCUCUAAGGUUGUAACCUAAGCUCAUUUUGACGACAGUAGAUGAAUUCUGCUGUAAGGCCGCACAUUGGCUUACAGUGUGGUGCCACUUUUCUUAUUUAUUUAAACCCUUUCAAUAGCAAUCUGAACUAUUUUUUUCUCAUAGUCUCUUUGUGAGCGAACAGUGCUAAAAAAAAACAACAAAAUCGAAACAACUCUUAGCAAUGGAUAUCUUGGUUCUC